This 460-nucleotide ribosomal RNA is filed under the name uncultured bacterium. RNAcentral's name for it is "bacterial SSU rRNA". It matches the Rfam family "Bacterial small subunit ribosomal RNA", at positions 8 to 464 of the family's 1533-position model. The record is from RNAcentral.
AGAGUUUGAUCCUGGCUCAGAUUGAACGCUGGCGGCAGGCCUAACACAUGCAAGUCGAACGGUAACAGGAAGCAGCUUGCUGCUUCGCUGACGAGUGGCGGACGGGUGAGUAAUGUCUGGGAAACUGCCUGAUGGAGGGGGAUAACUACUGGAAACGGUAGCUAAUACCGCAUAACGUCGCAAGACCAAAGAGGGGGACCUUAGGGCCUCUUGCCAUCGGGUGUGCCCAGAUGGGAUUAGCUAGUAGGUGGGGUAACGGCUCACCUAGGCGACGAUCCCUAGCUGGUCUGAGAGGAUGACCAGCCACACUGGAACUGAGACACGGUCCAGACUCCUACGGGAGGCAGCAGUGGGGAAUAUUGCACAAUGGGCGCAAGCCUGAUGCAGCCAUGCCGCGUGUAUGAAGAAGGCCUUCGGGUUGUAAAGUACUUUCAGCGGGGAGGAAGGGAGUAAAGUUAAU